This 450-nucleotide ribosomal RNA is filed under the name uncultured bacterium. RNAcentral describes it as "partial 16S ribosomal RNA". It matches the Rfam family "Bacterial small subunit ribosomal RNA", at positions 338 to 795 of the family's 1533-position model. The record is from RNAcentral.
CCUACGGGUGGCUGCAGUGGGGAAUUUUGGACAAUGGGGGAAACCCUGAUCCAGCCAUCCCGCGUGUAUGAUGAAGGCCUUCGGGUUGUAAAGUACUUUUGGCAGAGAAGAAAAGGUACCUCCUAAUACGAGGUACUGCUGACGGUAUCUGCAGAAUAAGCACCGGCUAACUACGUGCCAGCAGCCGCGGUAAUACGUAGGGUGCAAGCGUUAAUCGGAAUGUCUGGGCGUGGAGCGUGAGUAGAGAUGUGAAAUCCCAGGGCUCAACCUUGGAACUGCCUUUUUAACUGCCGAGCUAGAGUAUGUCAGAGGGGGGUAGAAUUCCACGUGUAGCAGUGAAAUGCGUAGAUAUGUGGAGGAAUACCGAUGGCGAAGGCAGCCCCCUGGGAUAAUACUGACGCUCAGACACGAAAGCGUGGGGAGCAAACAGGAUUAGAUACCCCGGUAGUC